RNAcentral lists this ribosomal RNA (497 nucleotides) under uncultured bacterium. Its description in RNAcentral is "partial 16S ribosomal RNA". It matches the Rfam family "Bacterial small subunit ribosomal RNA", at positions 28 to 507 of the family's 1533-position model. The record is from RNAcentral.
GAUGAACGCUGGCGGCGUGCCUAAUACAUGCAAGUCGAGCGAACGGACGAUAAUCUUGCUUCUCUGAUGUUAGCGGCUGACGUGUGAGUAACACGUGUAUAACCUACCUAUAAUACUUGGAUAACUUCGUGAAUCCGGAGCUAAUACCGUAUAAUAUUUUGAACCUCAUUGUUCAAUAGUGUAAUACGGUCUUUCUUUCACUUAUAUAUUGUUCAUCUCUGAAUUAGCUAGUUGGUAAGGUAACGGCUUACCAAGGCAACGAUGCAUAGCCGACCUGAGAGGGUGAUCGGCCACACGGGAACUGAGACACGGACCAGACGACGACGGGAGGAAGCAGUAGGGAAUAUUCCGCAAUGGGCGAAAGACUGACGGAGCAACGCCGCGUGAGUGAUGAAGGUCUUCGGAUCGUAAAAAUCUGUUAUGAGGGAAGAACAUAAGUGUAAGUAACAGUGCACAGAGUGACGGUAACUAAUCAGAAAGCAACGGCUAACUACGUG